This 1285-nucleotide ribosomal RNA is filed under the name Escherichia coli. RNAcentral's name for it is "partial 23S ribosomal RNA". It matches the Rfam family "Bacterial large subunit ribosomal RNA", at positions 890 to 2157 of the family's 2925-position model. The record is from RNAcentral. Lineage: Bacteria; Pseudomonadati; Pseudomonadota; Gammaproteobacteria; Enterobacterales; Enterobacteriaceae.
UCAUCUCCGGGGGUAGAGCACUGUUUCGGCAAGGGGGUCAUCCCGACUUACCAACCCGAUGCAAACUGCGAAUACCGGAGAAUGUUAUCACGGGAGACACACGGCGGGUGCUAACGUCCGUCGUGAAGAGGGAAACAACCCAGACCGCCAGCUAAGGUCCCAAAGUCAUGGUUAAGUGGGAAACGAUGUGGGAAGGCCCAGACAGCCAGGAUGUUGGCUUAGAAGCAGCCAUCAUUUAAAGAAAGCGUAAUAGCUCACUGGUCGAGUCGGCCUGCGCGGAAGAUGUAACGGGGCUAAACCAUGCACCGAAGCUGCGGCAGCGACGCUUAUGCGUUGUUGGGUAGGGGAGCGUUCUGUAAGCCUGUGAAGGUGUGCUGUGAGGCAUGCUGGAGGUAUCAGAAGUGCGAAUGCUGACAUAAGUAACGAUAAAGCGGGUGAAAAGCCCGCUCGCCGGAAGACCAAGGGUUCCUGUCCAACGUUAAUCGGGGCAGGGUGAGUCGACCCCUAAGGCGAGGCCGAAAGGCGUAGUCGAUGGGAAACAGGUUAAUAUUCCUGUACUUGGUGUUACUGCGAAGGGGGGACGGAGAAGGCUAUGUUGGCCGGGCGACGGUUGUCCCGGUUUAAGCGUGUAGGCUGGUUUUCCAGGCAAAUCCGGAAAAUCAAGGCUGAGGCGUGAUGACGAGGCACUACGGUGCUGAAGCAACAAAUGCCCUGCUUCCAGGAAAAGCCUCUAAGCAUCAGGUAACAUCAAAUCGUACCCCAAACCGACACAGGUGGUCAGGUAGAGAAUACCAAGGCGCUUGAGAGAACUCGGGUGAAGGAACUAGGCAAAAUGGUGCCGUAACUUCGGGAGAAGGCACGCUGAUAUGUAGGUGAAGUCCCUCGCGGAUGGAGCUGAAAUCAGUCGAAGAUACCAGCUGGCUGCAACUGUUUAUUAAAAACACAGCACUGUGCAAACACGAAAGUGGACGUAUACGGUGUGACGCCUGCCCGGUGCCGGAAGGUUAAUUGAUGGGGUCAGCGCAAGCGAAGCUCUUGAUCGAAGCCCCGGUAAACGGCGGCCGUAACUAUAACGGUCCUAAGGUAGCGAAAUUCCUUGUCGGGUAAGUUCCGACCUGCACGAAUGGCGUAAUGAUGGCCAGGCUGUCUCCACCCGAGACUCAGUGAAAUUGAACUCGCUGUGAAGAUGCAGUGUACCCGCGGCAAGACGGAAAGACCCCGUGAACCUUUACUAUAGCUUGACACUGAACAUUGAGCCUUGAUGUGUAGGAUAGGUGGGAGGCUU